AUUCCAGCUCCAAUAGCGUAUAUUAAAGUUGUUGCAGUUAAAAAGCUCGUAGUUGAACCUUGGACAAAGUGCGCGUGGUCUACCGCAAGGUAUGACUGCGGCGCUGCGUCUCUUUAGGGGGACUCGAUGCUUCGGUGUCGAGGUAACCCGUGUUACUGUGAAGAAAUUAGAGUGUUUAAAGCAGGCUAUCGCUUGAAUACAUCAGCAUGGAAUAACAAGUUGGACUUUGCUCCUACUUGUUGGUUUGAGGGGAAAAGUAAUGAUUAAUAGGGCCAGUUGGGGGCAUUAGUAUUCAGUAGUCAGAGGUGAAAUUCUUGGAUUUACUGAAGACUAACUAGUGCGAAAGCAUUUGCCAAGGAUGUUUUCAUUA
This 370-nucleotide ribosomal RNA is filed under the name Rozellomycota sp. Its description in RNAcentral is "Cryptomycota sp. partial small subunit ribosomal RNA". It matches the Rfam family "Eukaryotic small subunit ribosomal RNA", at positions 582 to 975 of the family's 1831-position model. Lineage: Eukaryota; Fungi; Rozellomycota. The record is from RNAcentral.